This is a long non-coding RNA of Amphimedon queenslandica, 340 nucleotides long. RefSeq lists it as uncharacterized. The record is from RefSeq and is a predicted model, not a curated record. NCBI's taxonomy places the organism in Eukaryota, Metazoa, Porifera, Demospongiae, Haplosclerida, Niphatidae. The transcript has 3 exons.
GUACUGGACUCAUCUUUGUCCCAAUAAAAGGAGAAGUAUUGAUUUGUACAUAGCAGGACAUCAACUGAUAGAUAAUGAAGGAAGCCCUGAUCAUGACUUGUAUCUGAUAUGUGACAGCACUAGUAAUAUAUCAUCAUGGAGGAUACCACCCAAUGGAGUCGAGAAUGGAAUUAAAAUGUCACUAUAUGUAGCUCCUGGAUAUGUUGUACAAGUUGAUACUGAUUGUACAUCAAAUGGUUCUCAUUCCUCUCAAGGUUGUCCUACCUACAGAUACAUUGAAAUAACAUCACAAGAGAUAUCAUCAGCAAUACAAGGACCAAGUAUGUACAUAUACUUCUCU